GUCACGCGCCCACACACAUCCCUCCACCCGCACACACACCCGCACGCACACGCCCCGCAGCUUCCUCGCCUCUUUGCCCAGCGCUGCGCCACGCAGCCAAGCAUCGUCUGCCGGCUGGGGCGCAGGAGCACCGGCUCUCACCUGCUCCCAGCAGGGCUCUCGCACCAGACGCACCGCUGAGCUUUGGCACCUGCUGUUCCCUCUGCCUGGACCACCCUUCCCAGCAUCGUUUCCCAGUCGUAGAUUGGCCACACCACCCAGCCUUGACUCCAGGCCAACUGUCGCAGACAUCUGGGUGACAACACAGCGUGGAGAGCCAGCUGCUUCGUCCUUGGGCCAGAGCACCAGCACAUGGUCCAGACUAUUGGCAAGUAGAACUCCGUGCCAGAGAGGUCCUGCAUGGAAUGCCGGACGGCGGCUCACUUUGCCUAAGUGGGCUCUGCCAGACAGCUGUUUCUCUUAAUUAAACACACACACACACACACACACACACACACACACACAAUUAAGUGAUGUGUUCCAGGCACCGUCCAUGGGUGUUCAUGUCUCUAACCUGUGCCCAGCCUCUUGCUGAGCAGUGCGGAUGCCAAGCUGAGAGGUCCCGCCAGCACACAGGGGCAGGGUGGUGGCAGUGUCAGGGUUUGACUAAUGGCCUCAAACCUGACCAAGAUAUGGCCCCAGCCUGGACUUCUUGCCUCCAGGAAAGUGGUUCUCUAAUGAAGCAGGAAAAAAAGCCUCUGCUCUCCCAGCAGCCUGGUGUCUUGGAGGUGGACACGGGUCUUCUCAGAGCACUGAACUCCCCUGGGACUCUCAGCCCCUCUCCUUGUCCCUGACCCCAUCCCCGGAUUCAGGAGGGUCCCAGGUAGUCAGGGACUCACCAACCACAGGUGGAGUGAAUUUGUUGCUUCUCACAUCUCCCAGUGAGCUCAGCUCAAACCUCAGCUCCUCUCCGCCUCCUCUCCCCAACCACACCCUACACAGCAGUCAAUGAGACCAUCAUUCCACAGCCUUGUCACCCGCCAGCUUAAAACCCUUUGCGCAUGCCCCAUGGCCCUCAGAAUAAACUCCGUCACUGGCUGGGCCUUGCCUGCCUUUCUGAGCCCAUUCCUCCUGAAUUCACCUUGAACUCCCCCUGCAUGGAGCCCUCACCAGGUAGAGAAGGAAGAAAGGGCAUUCUGGGAAGCUGGAACAGCUAGGCAAAUGUUCACAGAUGUGAGAGUCUGAGCAUUCAAAUAGGACACCUGGAGAGGGUGUGGUGGGCACGCGGAUGGGACUCUCCACAUCGCUCCACGGGACACGCCCACUCCAGAACCACUCAGGGUGUUGGUUAGUAUCACGUGGAACCGAAUCAGAAUUUCUAGAGCAGGGGUAGGCAACCUUCUUUCUGCCAAGGGCAAAUUGGAUAUUUAUCACAUCAUUCUCGGACCACACAAAAUUAUCAACAUAAAAAUUAGCCUGCUAUAUUUGGUCCAACAUUUAAUUAACUCACCCUAAUGCCUUGGCAGGGCCAGACCAAAUGAUAAGGCCCGCGGGCCGGACAGUCCCAGCCCUGCUCUAGAGGUUGAGGCUCAGGAGUUUGAGUUUUAACUUGGACACUGGCACGUUGGUGAAUGGCUGAUCAGUGUCAGGAACAAGGGGAGGUGAGAGCCUCCAGGGACAGUGCUGAGCCUUCUGAGGCCAGGCCUGCAUCUUGACUGAGUCUGUGCCUCUGGCACCUAUAAGGGCUUAGGCAGUGGUUCUCAACCUUCUGGCCCUUUAAAUACAGUUCCUCAUGUUGUGACCCAACCAUAAAAUUAUUUUCGUUGCUACUUCAUAACUGUAAUGUUGCUACUGUUAUGAAUCGUAAUGUAAAUAUCUGAUAUGCAGGAUGGUCUUAGGCGACCCCUGUGAAAGGGUCGUUCGACCACCAAAGGGGUCGUGACCCACAGGUUGAGAACCCCUGGCUUAGAGGCUGAGCACUGAGCCUGGAACACAUACAUACAUUGUACUUUAGGCAAGAUUCCUUGAGGCCAUCCAACUCCAACAAGCAGUGAAAACACAGGGAUCCAGUGAUGCAUUUAGCUGAACGGCUCAUGAGCACGUUCAGGCAAAGCUGGAUCCAGGGACUCAAUUGCCAUUCAUUCUCUCUCCCCACCCACCGCUCUCCAUGUCUUAGUUGUGCUUCUCUCGGUGGGUAGUCAGGGACAUUGGACAAUGAAAGGUCCAGAUAUAGUUGUCACCGCUUAGCACUGUCACUAAAAGAGAGAGAGAGGCCACUUGCAACACCCUUGCCAAACUUUAGUGAAGACGCUGGCUGAUUAGAGUCACAUUCCACUUCCUGAGACAAUCAGUUUGGCCAGGGAAGUGGUGGGGAAGACAGUGCUCUCAUUGGCCAGCCUCGGUCAUUGUCCACCCCUCGAUAUUGGGGAUGGUCACCAUAACUGCCCCCCAGUGAAGCCUGAUGGAGGGGGGAGGAGUGUCUUCUCCACGGGAUCUUGGGUAGUCAGGUGACAUCUAUCCACCUCACUUAUGCAUCAAGAUGUUCAUUAACCUCUUUAAUGUGUGGUCUAUAAACCUACCCACGCACACAAGGUCUGCCCUCUACUUAUCUACCCCUCCUCUCACCCCACACCCCGUUCAAUCCCCAUACCUACAUAGAUCCCCCCUGAAUUUUACACAGCCUCCCUCCCCUUCCUCUGUGCCAAAGCCAAAGUGUUAUCCUCAAAAUGUUCUCCACCAGCCAGCUACUCCAUCGCCAAGCCAGUGAAAUAAAUAAUUCUUUCCAUUUC
Myotis daubentonii (Daubenton's bat) is the source of this 2768-nucleotide long non-coding RNA. RefSeq lists it as uncharacterized. The record is from RefSeq and is a predicted model, not a curated record. Lineage: Eukaryota; Metazoa; Chordata; Mammalia; Chiroptera; Vespertilionidae.